Peromyscus maniculatus bairdii (prairie deer mouse) is the source of this 8407-nucleotide non-coding RNA. The record is from RefSeq and is a predicted model, not a curated record. Lineage: Eukaryota; Metazoa; Chordata; Mammalia; Rodentia; Cricetidae.
CCGGUCCCACUGCCUGGGUGCCUCCCAAACAGUUCAAGCAAAUCAACUGUCUCACUUAUCCAGAGGGCCUGAUCCAGUUGGGGGCUCUUCCUUUCAGUUUUUAAGGAUUAUUUCUAAGCAGUACCAGUAGCUAUAACCAGUGAAGGCACAACCCCAACAGGCUCUCCAAUCACCCCAAGAAGGCCAGAAUGAAUACAGAGAAAAGUCAACUUCAGACAGCUCCCACACUCACCACCAUCUGCUGAUUUAAAAAUCCGUUCUUUUUAAUUGCAUAAAGUAAAACUCACUUUUUUACAUAUAGUCUUUCUGGUUCUGACAAAUCCUAAAGUCCUAUUACUAUUGCAAUCAAGAUUUGGAACAGGCCAGGCCUGGUAGUGCAUGCCUAUAAUCCUAGCACUUCAGGAUGAGGCAAGAGGAUUGCAAGUUCAAGACCAGUAUGAACUACAUAGUAAAAUCCUGUGUCGAAUCUCCCACAAUACCAAUAUUUCUUUGGCUCCCCUUUUAUCGUUAAAUUAUCUACUACCUGCCCUUACUUCCCGGUCCCUUAGGCCAGAAACCCCAUCCACCUGUACCACUGAGAGGAACCAUUGAUCAUUGAUGGCUCAUAGUUUAUCCUAAAGCAUAGCAUGAAUAAAUGAAGUUACACAUGGUGUCCCUUUGGGAAUCUGCUCUCUAUGUUAAUACAAGGCAUUUGAGACUGGUCCAUGCUGAAUCCAUAAGCUAUUUCAUAUCAUUGCUGAGAUGAAUUCUUUUGUGUGGAUGUACAGAGCCAGUUGACCCAUUCAUCAGCUGAUCAGUGAGCUAAGGUGCUGUAAACAUGCAAGUCCAGGUUCUGUGUGAGAGAACAUAACUUUUCCUUUUUCCUGGCUGUGACGGAUGCAUCUAUAUGGUAAGAAUGUGUUUAGCUGUACAAGGAGCCACCAAAUUAGGCUGGGGUAUAGUAGCACACAUCUUUAAUUCCACCAUCAAGGAGGCAGAAGUAGGCAGAUCUUUGUGAAUUCAAGGCCACCCAGGGCUACAUAGUGAGACAUAAUCCUUAGAAAAAAAUAGAGAGAGCUGAAAGAUGCCUCAGCUGUUGAGUAUACUUACCACUCUUGCAGAGGGCCUGAGUUUAGCUCCCAGCACCCACAGGGCAGCUUACUACAUUUGAAAUCCAACACUCUUGUCUCUGACCUUUAUGAGUACCAGACACAUACCUGACACACAUUCAGACAAAACAUUAACAGACAAAAAAUUAAUUAAUUAAAAUAUUUUUAUAAGAAAAGAAGGGGGAAAAAACUUCCAAAUGGCCUUUGUUGUGGUGCUAGAGCCUGGAAUCCAGGGUCCUUCGUGUACUGCACAUGUGCUGUACCGCUGAGCUACAUCACUAGCCAUGCCAAGUCACUUUCUGUUCUUGUUUUGUAGUGUUGGAGAUGGAGCUCAAGCAUGCAAAUCAAGGGCUCUACCAGGAAGCUGCUGCCUCAGCCUUACCAAAUGGCACUCUUGGCUUUUUAUUCAUGUGUGGAUCUGUGUGCUUGUGUGACACAAUAUGUCUAGGUGCCUGUAGAGGCCAAAGGAAGGCUUAAGGCCCCUUAGAGCUGGAGUUAUAGAUCACUGUGAGCCUCCCUCCACUGGAACUGUAACCAACACGGGUCUUUGAAGAGCAGUGUGAGCUCCUAACUGCUAAGCCAUCUCCAAAGUCAGCUGCCCCACUCAGUGGCUCCCAAGGGGGUGUAUUUGUAUCUCAAUCAGCCUCCAAGGCAAAGAUCUACAUCCUUCUAGAGAUUGUAAUGGACAUGAAGGUGCUUGGUAGAGAGAGGGUGCAGUAUGCCAAGGUGGGAGAUUUGGGAAGAAACAUAUCUGAACUCUGUGUGUGUUUAAUAAAUAUAUAUGUAAGUUAAAGAUUUUGAGUGGGAUACAAUAGUUACUAAAGCACAAAUCCAUAAUGUAACUGUCAUAUAUUUUUUAAAAGGAUUAUACCAGUGCAGCAUUGUGGAAUGAAGAGAUUUUGUACAAUGGAUUUUGAUCAUAUUAGUUCCCCAUUCCCUCUUGUGCCCUCUUUUUAUGGUACCUCCUCCACCCAGGGCUCAGGGAUCAUUGAGGAAAGAGGGACAGAAAGAUGAUACGAGCCAGAGGCAUUGGAUGGAUGCAGUGAAACAGUAACAGGGCAGUUACAUAUAUGAGCUUCACAACGUGGUUAAGUCAGACAAAAUCCCUGCACAGAGCGGGGAGUUGGGAAGAAAAUCCCACCCCAGCCGAGGAACUAAUGACAAUUGAUAGCUGCCGAGGGAGGGAGAAGCCAGUUUCUUUAAGGAUGUAGCCCCUAGUAAGAUGGCCACACUCUGGUGGAAGGCCACACAUCCACAAUCACACAGACAGCACAAACUGAAUCCAGUGGAUUGAUAUCUGAAUUCUUAAGUCCUGUAGGAUCUAGCUGAUCCUGAAUAUGGACAGGAUACUUCCAAUCGUAGGUCAUUUGCUUCUCCCAUGGGGUAACAAAUAAACACCUCUCUACCUAUUUUCCAUAUGCAGCAAGGGCACUGCCUCUCUAGGUUGAGCCAGCCAAGGUUUACAAAGCAUGUCAGAGGACAAUUUUAUUCCCCAAUUCAGAAAGCAAAGUGAGAUAAUCAUCUGGACCGCUCUUAUGCCACUGUGGCAGGAACUAGGAAGGGGCCAUAUCCAAAUCACAGUGCGGGAGCUGGCAGGGACCUUAGCAAUUCUCACUUGAAAGAUGAUACUAUGAUAUGGACUCUUCUCCCCAGUAUCCCCACCAGGGACUCAGGCAGCCUUCUAGUAAACAAAAUCAGCCCAUUUCCUGUAUGACCUCUGAAAACACAGGGCAGCGUUCCACGUCCCACCAAUGGCGGUGUGGACAAGUCUGUGUAUCUGUGUUCACAGUACAAAGGGAGACAGAAAGGAGUCUACAGUGCCGCGUGCCUGGUGACCUGGCCAGAGCCCAGGUUUCUGGUUUACACCCCUUAAGCCUUGGCUUCCUUAGUCUUGGUGCCCCUUUUGAGAUUCUGAAGGCACCUUCUCACUUCAAAGGUCCUGAGAAUAUGUUUAAUUAGAACUUGGCCAUACAGCCUUUUAAAAUAAAACAGAAGGGACCAGCUAAUUAUAUUGCUCCACGUUCUGUGGCAAACAUAUAUUUUUUUAAUAAAACACUUUCCUAACCAGAGUAAUCCCUUGAGACGCAAAUCCUCAUUUAUAAGAAGUUUCCCAAAGGGAGUUAAAGAGAAAGACUUCUCUAAAGAAAAGAAACAAAGAGGGUGUAUGUGUGUGUGUGUGUGUGUGGGGGGGUUGUUUGCAAAGAGCUUUCAAAAGAGGCUCUCUUGAUGAGGUUAAAAUAGGGAUGUUUCAAGGAUGCCGAGUUUUACUGCAAAUACUAUCCGUUCCUGUCUUUUUUUUUUUUUAUCAUGCAUUUCCUCUUUUGAUUAGUGCAGCAAAUGCUGAUAUUUCUCUUUCUGGUGUGUUGCAUAAGUGCAGUAUUUAAAUAAACAAGUGAUUUUCUUCUCAAAUGUUCUUUGUCUCCUGCUGUGUGGCCCUGCAUUGCUCUGCUAGGGCCUCCUUCUCUAGACAGGAACCUCACAGGACUGGCUAUGGUUGCUGGGGUGAUGCUAGGUAGGGGCUUUUGCCUGAGUGCCUGUCAGCCUAGGGUGGGAGAGAGGAUUCUCCCUCACCCACCCACCCCACACUCAGAUGUGAGAUGACUUGGAUGCUUGUGUUUGGAUCCCCUGGAGCUGGAGUUACAGGUGGUUCUGAGUCACCUGAUAUGGGUACUGGCAACCAACUCCCAUCCUCUGCAAGAGCAGCAAUCACUUUUAACCACAGAGCCAUCUCUCCAGCCCCUAUUUAUUUAUUUUUUAAUUUAGCAUAGAACAUAAUAGUUUUCCUUAUGGCAUCUUCAUACGUAAUUUUUCUUAUGGGGCCCUUCCUCAACACCCUCCUCUCUCUCUUGACCUUAAGGUUGCUGAAUCUCUUUCUCCUCCUUAGGAGGUCCCCUUUUCUACCUUCAUUCAAUUGUGUUCCAAUAUCCUCUCUUUCCCAGAUCAUCUCUGCCUCCCUUGGGAUGCAUUCUUCCUCUUCCUGCCCCUCUCCACUUUCCUGACCUAACCUGGAUUUGAAUGCAGAUCUUUGCUGCACUCUCCACUCUCCAGUGCCAGAGCACGCUGGUUUGGAAAAUGACAUUGUCCACAGCAGCUGAUGCUGAGAGCCCUGCGGCUGGGCAGAAGGCAUGAGCUCUGGACGGACGCAAUCUUGUGAGCUCUUCAAAUGGGGCCAAAUCAAUAAAUGAGAGGCAGCGGGGAUGGCGGGAGGCUGGGUUCAAGGGGUAAGCUGUACCAUUCCUCUUCUAGUUCUGCUCCACAACCGGGACCCUCCCUUCAUUCUGAAGUCCCUGGGGACAGGGUAAUUUCGGCCACACUUGAUAUAACCUAUACAUCACUGUCUUCUGGACCAGCUCUCAAAUUAAACUCUGAUGUAUAAAGUUAAACAAAAAUGAGAUAAAAAUUGGCAGAGGUUGAAGAGGGUCAAAGUAGUCAAAACGCAAGGUGGAGUAUUGCUCCUUUUGAUUUAUGUUAUUCUGUGCACUUAGAAAAAAUAAAAUUAUAAAUCUCCCCGAGACUUUUCUCAUUGAGAAUGAGGCAUUACUAAUUUAUUUUCAAUAGACUCCCGGGUCUUCCAUCUAGGGCUGAGUGGGUGAUUCCGAAGCUAUUGUUUCCAGUGACCAUGCCCCAAAUGGUUCUAAAACAUGAACCGGGGAGACACUAAAGCAUCUUGCAAAUUUAACAUCUCGGCAGAGUGCUAAGAACAAGUCUGCCUUGUGUUUGCUAAGAAUGGAACCCAGAACCUUGAGCACAUCACCACUGAAGCAAUACCCCCAGACCCUCAUGGUAAAUUCUAGGCAAGAACUUAUCACCAAGUUACACCCUAUCCCCUCAUUGGUAGAUUAAAUUCUAGCAAGUGCUCUAACAUUGACCCUUGUUUGUUUGUUUGUUUCGUUUUUAUUUUUUCAGGUUUUGUUGUGGUGUUUUUGUUUGUUUUUGUUUUUGUGUUGGACAGAUAUUUGGAGUCAUGGUCUUCUUGCCUCUGCUUCCACAGUUCUGGGAUCACAGACUUGGGCUACCACAUACACAUCACCAAGAAUUACCUCAGGAGACACAGAUAAGAUCAAGGGACAAAUGAGGAUACUGCAUGUUAUCCAGGCCACACAGAUAUGGCCGUGUAGGGGGGAGGGCACAGUGUGUAGAGCAAUGGCGGCGUGUGGUUCUAAGAUCUGUAUUUUGAAUGUGAGGGUCUGAAAAUGAUCUCUGGGCUCCACUACAUGGUUCUUUCCAGAGCAUGGAGGUACCUAGCCAGCUGGCUAGCAUAGACCCAGGAUACAAGCAAAAGGCUAUUUGAGGAAGUGAAGAAGCACCAGCAGAGGGCAGAGAUUGCAGAGAGGAGGGUCUUAGGGAGGGAGGGAGGGGGGAGGGAGGGGAUAAACGCAUUCUUGAGUACUAUUUUUCCCUCCACUGACUAUAAAAGUACAUUGCAGUCUAUUUACCUCUGUUCUUUCUCUAUUUCUCUCAAGGACACAGCCCGCUUCUUCAUCUCUCAGCCCAGGACUGUGAGACUGCCCCAAGAUAGAUGAGCAAAAGUUACAGAGUUUCCUAAUGUAGUUACAUCUCAAUUGGGGGAUUGAUGCCCACCUGCCUGGCGCUAUGGGAUGGAUUUCAGCACAGGUGUGACCUCUGUGGCCAGAGGCCAGGAUGAGCCCGUAGAAAUGUCCAGGCUGCAGGCAACUGGGCCUGUGAGUCUCCUCUCUAAAGCCUUCCCUGCAGGGGAAGGGGAGGCAUGAUUGACAGUGGACCAUCCCAAUGGGAGGAUCACGAGUAGGCUUUAAGGUAAGUACAGACUAAAGCAUCUGGGCCUGUUCCUUGGGAAUGAAAGGAAGAAAAGUGUCCCUCAGUACCCAUAGCCCUGCCUGUCAUGGGCUGAAGUGGGGGAGAAGCUUCUUAACCCUCUGUCUUCCUCUUAGCAGACCUCAAAAGUUCCCAGGAGAGUGAGCCCAAGCCAGAGUGUGGGGACGUGUUGGCCUGCUUCUCUUCUAGACCUUCACUGGGCUUGGCCCCAACCUGUUUUAGCACUAAGUUAUCUAGGUCUUCAAUGCUUGGUUAGAACCAGUUUGUCCAGCUUUCCCCAAAGGCCUGUGACAUCAGACACUUGGUCUUGCUUCUGGGCUGAGGAAGUGCUGACUGACACUUCCAAACAUCAGUUGAAUUUUGGAUAUGGCCUUAAAGUCACAGUGGCCAUCUGGGCAACUGGCAAGCUUAGCUUGAAUCUGUCUGCUCCCAGUAGACCCUGGUGUGGAGCAGAACCGACUGGUCACAUAUGGUUUACGACUGUGGCAAUGGAGCCCUCUGAAUGAAGAAAAUGAAGAACUUGUUGGAUGCCCUUGACCUCGAGGAAGUAACAGGAACUCAGAGUGUUCAGUGUGAUUUAUCACUUGUUGAGAAAAGUAAACACUGUUGUAAUUCGUCAUGAUUUAAAUUUGGAAUGUCACCCCUCAAAGGCUCCUGUGCAGAAGGUUUCACCCCAGCUGAUGGUACUCCGUGGGUCCUUUUAGGAGCUGUGGCUGUGCUGAAGGAAAUAGGCUAUUGUGGUUUGUCUGAAAUGUCCCCCACAGAGUCAUAUUCUGGGUGCUGAGUCCUGAGAUUAUGGUGCUGUUUUAAAGACUGUGGAGAUUUUAAUAGUUGGGACCUGGCCGAAAGAAGGGGUGGGCCUUUGGAGUUGAUGGCCACCUCUGCUCCUGGCUGGCCUGCUUUUUGGUCUGCCACAAUGUCCCCAGCUGCCUCACACUCCCAUAGCUAUGGAUGGAACCAUUCCACCACACCCCACCCCACACUGUGAUGGACUGACUUCAUGAGUCAAAAUAAACCUUUCCAACCAUAGUUUGCCUGCAAGAUAUUUUGUCACAGGGACAGGUCAUGGCAGAAGGUGACAUCCUUGAAAGGUAUGCUUCAAACCUGGACCUUUCCACACUGCUUCUUUGAUUCCUGGUUGUCAUAAAGUGAUGUCUCUGUGGUGUCAUGGCCCCUCCACAAACAUACUGUUCCACACUGACUAGUUCCUUUUGCAUUGAUCUGCUUCAAGAGGCAAUGGGGCCAAGUAGCCAUGGACAGAACCUCUGAAAUCAUGAGCCAAGUCAAUCAUUCCUCAUUUGUAAGUUGAUUACCCCAGGUAUGAGGCCUAGGCCAAAACAGUUUUCCUGUUGCUGGACACUCCCUUCCAUUUUCCUAAUGUACAUAUACACUAAUUGCUUUAUAUGAAAGGUGCAUUUCUGGGGUCCCCACAAAGUAGCAUGAUUGAACAGGUCUUCUAAAGACAUGGCUUCCAAGGAGCUGGGAAUACAGCUCUGCGCUAGAAGACCUGCCUAGAAUCUCCCAGUGAGGGGCUGGGGUGUGGCUCAGUGGUAGAGCACCUACCUAGAAUCCCCCAGUGAGGGGCUGGGGUGUGGCUCAGUGGUAGAGACCCUGCCUAGAAUCCCCCAGUGAGGGGCUGGGGGCCUGGCUCAGAGAUAGAACAGUUUGCCCAGCAUGCACAAGGCCUAAAGUUCCACCUCAGCAGUACAAAGCAUCAACAACAUGAUAAUGACUUGGCUUCCAGUUCUAGCUCCCAGUUUUCACUAGGGGGCCACUUCAGCCUUCUUACGCCUGUCUCCUCUCCCUAGUUCUUCCAAGAUGCUUCUGUUAAAUUAAUAUUUGUUCUUCAUAGAUUUUACUGUUGAGUUAAGCAGCAUGAUUUGAAUUGAUGCCAUUCUCAUUUGUUUUUUUUCCUAAAGCCAACAAUAAUUUAUUUUUAUUUGCUUGUUGUUGUUGUUGUUGUUUUCCAGUACAUGUGGUUAAGUUUCUUCACAUCCACCUACAGCCUCUCAGGAAGAUUUUCAUCAAGGUCAAACACAGCAGCUAAUCCACAGGUCUGGGGUCUGAGUUUCUUGUCUCUGAGGCAUUGUGUCUUGAGGCACUGAUGUUCCAGCUGCUCCUGUUGCCUGGGUGACUACACAUUAGUCCUUACUCCAACUUGAGGACUUGCUUUAGCUCUGGCAGCCACUGGUCCCCUACUUCCUGGAGCUUUUGUUUUCUCUUUCUUGCCUUAAUUCCUCCUAAUAGCUGUCUGAUGUUGUAAUAAUGGUGUCUGGGUUAAGUAAGCCAGAAAAAAAAAAAAAAGCUUUCCCAGAUAAGCAUAUCCUAGACCAAGAACAGCAGCAGCAACCACAGCUAAAUAAAGCAAGAAGACUGAGCAGAGAUACAAAGCCUGUUUUUUAUCAAGUGAGCAGCCAACACUUCAAAAGGCAUGAAAGAGAAGAAGGAAGGGAGCUCUGGGCAUCUGUUCUGCUGCAUGUCUGCAAACAGGGACACCAAGACACCACCCAAGGUACAGAGCCAGA